This 1195-nucleotide ribosomal RNA is filed under the name uncultured Helicobacter sp. Its description in RNAcentral is "bacterial SSU rRNA". It matches the Rfam family "Bacterial small subunit ribosomal RNA", at positions 100 to 1325 of the family's 1533-position model. The record is from RNAcentral. Lineage: Bacteria; Pseudomonadati; Campylobacterota; Epsilonproteobacteria; Campylobacterales; Helicobacteraceae.
CACGGGUGAGUAACGCAUAGGUCAUGUGCCUCUUAGUUUGGGAUAGCCAUUGGAAACGAUGAUUAAUACCAGAUACUCCCUACGGGGGAAAGAUUUAUCGCUAAGAGAUCAGCCUAUGUCCUAUCAGCUUGUUGGUAAGGUAAUGGCUUACCAAGGCUAUGACGGGUAUCCGGCCUGAGAGGGUGAACGGACACACUGGAACUGAGACACGGUCCAGACUCCUACGGGAGGCAGCAGUAGGGAAUAUUGCUCAAUGGGGGAAACCCUGAAGCAGCAACGCCGCGUGGAGGAUGAAGGUUUUAGGAUUGUAAACUCCUUUUGUUAGAGAAGAUAAUGACGGUAUCUAACGAAUAAGCACCGGCUAACUCCGUGCCAGCAGCCGCGGUAAUACGGAGGGUGCAAGCGUUACUCGGAAUCACUGGGCGUAAAGAGCGCGUAGGCGGGAUAGUCAGUCAGGUGUGAAAUCCUAUGGCUUAACCAUAGAACUGCAUUUGAAACUACUAUUCUAGAGUGUGGGAGAGGUAGGUGGAAUUCUUGGUGUAGGGGUAAAAUCCGUAGAGAUCAAGAGGAAUACUCAUUGCGAAGGCGACCUGCUAGAACAUUACUGACGCUGAUUGCGCGAAAGCGUGGGGAGCAAACAGGAUUAGAUACCCUGGUAGUCCACGCCCUAAACGAUGGAUGCUAGUUGUUGGAGGGCUUAGUCUCUCCAGUAAUGCAGCUAACGCAUUAAGCAUCCCGCCUGGGGAGUACGGUCGCAAGAUUAAAACUCAAAGGAAUAGACGGGGACCCGCACAAGCGGUGGAGCAUGUGGUUUAAUUCGAAGCUACACGAAGAACCUUACCUAGGCUUGACAUUGAGAGAAUCCGCUAGAAAUAGUGGAGUGUCUAGCUUGCUAGACCUUGAAAACAGGUGCUGCACGGCUGUCGUCAGCUCGUGUCGUGAGAUGUUGGGUUAAGUCCCGCAACGAGCGCAACCCCCUUUCUUAGUUGCUAACAGGUCAUGCUGAGAACUCUAAGGAUACUGUCUCCGUAAGGAGGAGGAAGGUGGGGACGACGUCAAGUCAUCAUGGCCCUUACGCCUAGGGCUACACACGUGCUACAAUGGGGUGCACAAAGAGAAGCAAUACUGCGAAGUGGAGCCAAUCUUCAAAACACCUCUCAGUUCGGAUUGUAGGCUGCAACUCGCCUGCAUGAAG